UGAGGGAGCUUGCUCCCAAAGAUUAGCGGCGGACGGGUGAGUAACACGUGGGCAACCUGCCUGUAAGACUGGGAUAACUCCGGGAAACCGGGGCUAAUACCGGAUAAUAUCUAUUUAUACAUAUAAUUAGAUGGAGAAGAUGGUUCUGCUAUCACUUACAGAUGGGCCCGCGGCGCAUUAGCUAGUUGGUGAGGUAACGGCUCACCAAGGCGACGAUGCGUAGCCGACCUGAGAGGGUGAUCGGCCACACUGGGACUGAGACACGGCCCAGACUCCUACGGGAGGCAGCAGUAGGGAAUCUUCCGCAAUGGACGAAAGUCUGACGGAGCAACGCCGCGUGAGUGAUGAAGGUUUUCGGAUCGUAAAACUCUGUUGUUAGGGAAGAACAAGUAUCGGAGUAACUGCCGGUACCUUGACGGUACCUAACCAGAAAGCCACGGCUAACUACGUGCCAGCAGCCGCGGUAAUACGUAGGUGGCAAGCGUUGUCCGGAAUUAUUGGGCGUAAAGCGCGCGCAGCGGUUCCUUAAGUCUAGAUGUGAAAGCCCACGGCUCAACCGUGGAGGGUCAUUGGAAACUGGGGAACUUGAGUGCAGAAGAGGAAAGUGGAAUUCCAAGUGUAGCGGUGAAAUGCGUA
Molecule: ribosomal RNA, 636 nt
Filed under: Bacillus sp. C2-8m
Lineage: Bacteria; Bacillati; Bacillota; Bacilli; Caryophanales; Bacillaceae
Description: bacterial SSU rRNA
Rfam family: Bacterial small subunit ribosomal RNA
Source: RNAcentral